UACGUAGGGGGCGAGCGUUAUCCGGAUUUACUGGGUGUAAAGGGAGCGUAGACGGCAUGGCAAGUCUGGAGUGAAAGCCCGGGGCCCAACCCCGGGACUGCUCUGGAAACUGCCAGGCUAGAGUACAGGAGGGGCAGGCGGAAUUCCUAGUGUAGCGGUGAAAUGCGUAGAUAUUAGUAGGAACACCGGUGGCGAAGGCGGCUUACUGGACCGCGACUGACGUUGAGGCUCGAAAGCGUGGGGAGCAA
This 248-nucleotide ribosomal RNA is filed under the name uncultured Lachnospiraceae bacterium. Its description in RNAcentral is "partial 16S ribosomal RNA". It matches the Rfam family "Bacterial small subunit ribosomal RNA", at positions 524 to 771 of the family's 1533-position model. Lineage: Bacteria; Bacillati; Bacillota; Clostridia; Lachnospirales; Lachnospiraceae. The record is from RNAcentral.